AGAGUUUGAUCCUGGCUCAGGAUGAACGCUGGCGGCAUGCCUAAUACAUGCAAGUCGAACGAAGUUUCGAGGAAGCUUGCUUCCAAAGAGACUUAGUGGCGAACGGGUGAGUAACACGUAGGUAACCUGCCCAUGUGUCCGGGAUAACUGCUGGAAACGGUAGCUAAAACCGGAUAGGUAUACAGAGCGCAUGCUCAGUAUAUUAAAGCGCCCAUCAAGGCGUGAACAUGGAUGGACCUGCGGCGCAUUAGCUAGUUGGUGAGGUAACGGCCCACCAAGGCGAUGAUGCGUAGCCGGCCUGAGAGGGUAAACGGCCACAUUGGGACUGAGACACGGCCCAAACUCCUACGGGAGGCAGCAGUAGGGAAUUUUCGUCAAUGGGGGAAACCCUGAACGAGCAAUGCCGCGUGAGUGAAGAAGGUCUUCGGAUCGUAAAGCUCUGUUGUAAGUGAAGAACGGCUCAUAGAGGAAAUGCUAUGGGAGUGACGGUAGCUUACCAGAAAGCCACGGCUAACUACGUGCCAGCAGCCGCGGUAAUACGUAGGUGGCAAGCGUUAUCCGGAAUCAUUGGGCGUAAAGGGUGCGUAGGUGGCGUACUAAGUCUGUAGUAAAAGGCAAUGGCUCAACCAUUGUAAGCUAUGGAAACUGGUAUGCUGGAGUGCAGAAGAGGGCGAUGGAAUUCCAUGUGUAGCGGUAAAAUGCGUAGAUAUAUGGAGGAACACCAGUGGCGAAGGCGGUCGCCUGGUCUGUAACUGACACUGAGGCACGAAAGCGUGGGGAGCAAAUAGGAUUAGAUACCCUAGUAGUCCACGCCGUAAACGAUGAGAACUAAGUGUUGGAGGAAUUCAGUGCUGCAGUUAACGCAAUAAGUUCUCCGCCUGGGGAGUAUGCACGCAAGUGUGAAACUCAAAGGAAUUGACGGGGGCCCGCACAAGCGGUGGAGUAUGUGGUUUAAUUCGAAGCAACGCGAAGAACCUUACCAGGCCUUGACAUGGAAACAAAUACCCUAGAGAUAGGGGGAUAAUUAUGGAUCAC
Molecule: ribosomal RNA, 1035 nt
Filed under: human gut metagenome
Description: bacterial SSU rRNA
Rfam family: Bacterial small subunit ribosomal RNA
Source: RNAcentral